UGGGCUUAUGUUGGUACUCGGUGGUUUGCCCCGUCUAUCUACUUAAAACUUGACUAAGGUCGAAAAGUGAUGGUGUUCGUGUCAAGUGUUUGAAAGUACUAAUCUCACACCUAGUAUGGGAUGGGGAAGCCUAGUACCUGAUUGAACCGGGAUGUGAGCGGAUCAUUCCACUGUCUCUAGAAACUGAGUUUCCCCCUAGUGCAUCAUGUGGUGACAAGUGCG
This 222-nucleotide long non-coding RNA is filed under the name Setaria viridis. RNAcentral's name for it is "long non-coding RNA (SVIR_LNC001198)". Lineage: Eukaryota; Viridiplantae; Streptophyta; Magnoliopsida; Poales; Poaceae. The record is from RNAcentral.